UCCCUGGGGGUCGAGUGGCUAAGACUCCGUGUUCCCAACCCAGGGGUCCAGGUUCGAUCCUGGUCAGGGAA
This 71-nucleotide transfer RNA is filed under the name Capra hircus (goat). It matches the Rfam family "tRNA". Rfam says of the family: Transfer RNA (tRNA) molecules are approximately 80 nucleotides in length. The record is from Rfam by way of RNAcentral. Lineage: Eukaryota; Metazoa; Chordata; Mammalia; Artiodactyla; Bovidae. RNAcentral also lists the same sequence under 1 other name.